Molecule: ribosomal RNA, 252 nt
Filed under: uncultured bacterium
Lineage: Bacteria
Description: partial 16S ribosomal RNA
Rfam family: Bacterial small subunit ribosomal RNA
Source: RNAcentral
UACGUAGGUCCCGAGCGUUGUCCGGGUUUAUUGGGCGUAAAGCGAGCGCAGGUGGUUUAUUAAGUCUGGUGUAAAAGGCAGUGGCUCAACCAUUGUAUGCAUUGGAAACUGGUAGACUUGAGUGCAGGAGAGGAGAGUGGAAUUCCAUGUGUAGCGGUGAAAUGCGUAGAUAUAUGGAGGAACACCGGUGGCGAAAGCGGCUCUCUGGCCUGUAACUGACACUGAGGCUCGAAAGCGUGGGGAGCAAACAGG